CAACAAAUAGAUGCCAUUAUAGAAAUAUAGUUUUAACUAAAACAGAUGCUUCUUAGUAGCAGUAUAAAAUAUUUGCCUGCUUUCUUAAGGCCACCUUUGAAUAGUAUAAACUGGGCAUUAGAGAAUCGACUUUGGUUCUGUGGUUUAGUUAUAAUUAAUGAAUUUUCUAUUGUAAAAAGGAAUUUUUCUUGUGAGAGGAGUAACUUAUCAUGAGAAUGAUUGUUGUUUCCAUUAUUUCCAG
RNAcentral lists this long non-coding RNA (241 nucleotides) under Mytilus galloprovincialis (Mediterranean mussel). Lineage: Eukaryota; Metazoa; Mollusca; Bivalvia; Mytilida; Mytilidae. The record is from RNAcentral.